This 497-nucleotide ribosomal RNA is filed under the name uncultured bacterium. RNAcentral's name for it is "partial 16S ribosomal RNA". It matches the Rfam family "Bacterial small subunit ribosomal RNA", at positions 28 to 507 of the family's 1533-position model. The record is from RNAcentral.
GAUGAACGCUGGCGGCGUGCCUAAUACAUGCAAGUCGAGCGAACGGACGAGAAGCUUGCUUCUCUGAUGUUAGCGGCGGACGGGUGAGUAACACGUGGAUAACCUACCUAUAAGACUGGGAUAACUUCGGGAAACCGUAGCUAAUACCGGAUAAUAUAUUGAACCGCAUGGUUCAAUAGUGAAAGACGGUCUUGCUGUCACUUAUAGAUGGAUCCGCGCUGCAUUAGCUAGUUGGUAAGGUAACGGCUUACCAAGGCAACGAUGCGUAGCCGACCUGAGAGGGUGAUCGGCCACACUGGAACUGAGACACGGUCCAGACUCCUACGGGAGGCAGCAGUAGGGAAUCUUCCGCAAUGGGCGAAAGCCUGACGGAGCAACGCCGCGUGAGUGAUGAAGGUCUUCGGAUCGUAAAACUCUGUUAUUAGGGAAGAACAAAUGUGUAAGUAACUGUGCACAUCUUGACGGUACCUAAUCAGAAAGCCACGGCUAACUACGUG